Vicugna pacos (alpaca) is the source of this 5475-nucleotide non-coding RNA. NCBI's taxonomy places the organism in Eukaryota, Metazoa, Chordata, Mammalia, Artiodactyla, Camelidae. The record is from RefSeq and is a predicted model, not a curated record.
AUAUUUGAGGGUUUUCCCGAGAAGCGCCCGGCGCGGGUGAGGAGUCAAGGGGGCCGCCGGAGGCUGGUUUCUCGCGGCGGACCGGGCGGGAGGCUGCAGAAGCUUCUUUGGCGACUUCGGGUCCGCGGCUGUGUGCGUGACCUCAUUUUCCGUGUGUACGUAUCCUAAAUCCUGACCGAGCUUUAUGGAGCCCAGUUGUGGCGGGCUUCCAGGACUCGAAGCCACCAGGCCCCACGUGAAACCAAAGGCCACGUGUUCAGCUGCUGCACCCUUGGAGGAGAGACGGUUCCGUGUCCUCGUGGGUGUCACUGGGAGUGUUGCAGCCCUGAAGUUGCCUCUUUUGGUGUCAAGGCUUUUGGACAUUCCUGGUCUGGAAGUAGCAGUGGUCACAACUGAGAGAGCCAAACAUUUCUACAGCCCCCAGGACGUUCCUGUCACCCUCUACAGCGACACUGAUGAAUGGGAGCUGUGGAAGUGCCGAUCCGACCCAGUUCUCCACAUUGACCUGCGGAGGUGGGCAGACCUUAUGCUGGUGGCUCCUCUUGAUGCCAAUACGCUGGGAAAGGUGGCCAGUGGCAUCUGUGACAACUUGCUUACCUGCGUCAUCCGGGCCUGGGACCGCAGCAAGCCCCUGCUCUUCUGCCCUGCGAUGAACACCGCCAUGUGGGAGCACCCCAUCACCGAGCAGCAGGUGGGCCAGCUCAAGGCCUUCGGCUACGUGGAGGUCCCCUGUGUGGCCAAGAAGCUGGUCUGUGGAGACCAAGGACUCCUGCUCUUGGAGCCCAGCUGCUAUGCUGUGAGAAGGCCCAGGCCCACGCCAGUGGACGUGGGGGUGCACUGCCCGCAGCCCGCAUCUGAGUGAGCAACUUUUGGACUGACUUUCGCCCCAGCCACCCUCUGACUGCCACCACAACAGAGACUCCAGCUGAGCCUGGUGACUCCAGGCCUGUGAAGAGAACAAUAAAUUGAUUGUUCUUGUUUUCCACCACUAAGUUUUGGGGGCAGCUGAUUCACAACAGUGACUGGAACAUAUUCUAUCACAGGCUCCUUCCUGUACCAUGAGCGGCCUUGGACUCGUGUGUGGGCACCCGGAACGUCUGUUCAAAUUCUGUACUCUCCCGUGUCCUCCUGCACAAUAGCCACCGUUGGCCAGCCCUCAGGCUUAGAAGUCCAUGUCCUUGCUGCCCUCGGAAGCCAGGUGAAGGCAGGACAGGCCACCUGUACCAGCUGAGGAAACCCUACUGCCCAGCAUCAGACCAGAGCCCUGCAGGCCCCUCAGACUCUCCAGGGCUGGGCCCUACCUCCCUCUAGUGCCUCUUGGACCCAGAGCUCCUAAAACCCUUGGAAUUUCCUGUGUGAUGGGAGUGUCUUUUAUUAUUCCUUAAGAAGCUUCAUUGAUUAGAGAGAGAGAGAGAGAGAAGAGAACCUACACCAGCAGGGAGUCACAGUGGACAUCCACCUAGAGCUUAAGGGGAUCCUGAGAUUUCAUUCUGCACUGGGCCUGGCAGAUUACGUAGCCAAUCCUGUAUGCAGUGUUGUGCUGGAGCCAGCUCUCCCUGGCUCCCAACUCCACGUUGGGUGAUGUCAUGUUAGAAGCUUGAAAGGGCCGUGGUGAUAACAUUAACAACACAGAAAGCAGGCAAGUGCUGCAAAAUAGGACAUUGUUUUCGACCUGGUUGUUAAACAUUGACCAGCACACCAUUGUACAGAGCACUCAAUAAUGCUGAAAACUUCUUACUCUUGUUAUUUCAUUGACUAAAGCAGGCCAGCCUAAACUUCUAGGGGGACAGUGCAGAGCCCUGGAUGGAAGACUCGAGAAGAAAACAGCACUGACCCAGACCAUUCCACCACAGUUUCAGGGAUGAAGAAACAAGCUCAGAGAGGUAAUGGACUCACUUAAGACCACACAGGAGGACAACUACUGAGCUCACAUUGGGGCCCAAGGUUCUGGCUCUUAGAAGAGGCUCUUUAGAGCCACAUGUCCCCUGUCCCGUGCAGUGCCUAGCACAGAGUUCUGAACUGCAGGAAUAAACUGGGAUGAGGGGGCUCAGGAGGAGUAGGCAAAAGGGAAGCUGGGGGAAGGACUCAGAAGUCCCAACCCUACACUUUUCUCAUCUUCCAGGAUCCUCACAGCCUGAGGCAGAGGCCCGGGCAAAUGGGCAGUAGGACAGAAUGUUCCAGCAACCACUGACUAGAUCAGAGACACAAAUAUUUGCUAAGCCCAGGGGCCUCCCAGACAUGCUGGCAGGGUUCAGAGGAACAAGUGUAUGGAGACUCUCCCUCUGGAGCCAGGGAAUCCAGGAGAGGGAGAAACCCCUCAAAGAGUUCCCCCCAAACCCUCGACCCCAUUUGCUUCAUCACAUUUGUAUAUGAGCCCCUCACACCCUCAAGUAUGUAAAGCCGAGUCACAAAGCACCUUCUCAGCCAUGAGCAGAAUAGGGAGCUGACCCCCAUUUUACAGAUGAGGAAACUGAGGCCCGCAGAGGGAAGAGGGCACGCCCAAGGGCUGGGGAAUGGGAGAACCUGAAGUGGAGGCAGGAUGGGAAAGCUCACCCCCAACUCCGACAGUCUCGGAUCCUGCAUCUGGUCUGCUGCUCCCCUACUCGAGAACUGCCCUGGACGCUCACUGGCCUGAAUGAGUUAGUUGCUAGUCCCUACUGACCCCUAGACCCUCUUCUCUGGCCAGACCUCCCAAACUCAGUUUUUACAGCUCCCACAGGCUGCUUUCUCCCCAAGGGAACCUCCUCUCUCUUCUUACCUCCCAGCUCAGGAAGCCCUUCCCCCCUCACACUCUCCUCAAAUCUGCACCCUCCUGCCUUAUGAAUCUCCAACCUGGCCUCAGUGCAGGAAGCCCUCCUGGACUGCUCCUGCUCACACAAGAGGGCUCUUGUCCUCUCAGGAGUAGGAGCCAGAGGUGUCUGGGUCCCUUUCAGGAGUGGGAGUUAAGCAGGGGUCUAUGUCCUAGUUGCAGCUUUGUCACCAACUUACUGGGUGACCUGGGGCUACCCUGCUCUGUCUGAGCCUCAGCUCCCUCAUCCGGAUUCAGUUUGCCUGCCUCACCAGGGAAUUGAGUCUGGGUGGGAAAACUUUGGCAGUGGGCACAGAUCACAGCUGCUGGGGUUCUUGUUGGCAUCAGCAUUGCUCCAAUCUUGGGCUCCAUCCAAACCCAUUGUCAGCCAGCCACACACUGUCUCUACUUCUGCCUUUUCCCUAGGGGCAGGAGGCCUGAGACUGGCCUGAGAGCUCAGCUGGGGUGGGUGCUGGGAGCACAGGCACUCCUGUCCUCCUCCACUAGCCCCAGACAGCCAGGCCUGGGUAUGGAGCUGGGAGGGGAUGCACUACAAGAGGUUGGAGGCCACCUUGAGUCCCAGCUCCUAGGCAAUUCUGCCCUUCAGCCCUCCAGGGUGUUAACUUUUCCCAAUCAAGAGCAAACUCUAUCUCCAUGGCAGCAAAAUUAGGAAGGGCCCCUGGGAAAUGUUGGAGCCCUCCCCUCCCCCAGGCAGACUUUCGGAAGGCCCAAAGAAGUGUUCCCCACAAUGCCUAGAAUCAGAGACUGUCAUGGCAAUGCAUCAUUUAGAAGCCUGCUCCCCAUCGUACAGAUGAGGAAACUGACACAGAGAGAUGCAGUGACUUGCCACCACUGCAGUGAAGACGCUAGGAUGUUCAGAUAGCAGGGCCCUGGUCUUGAAACUGCGUGCGCAUAGCAGGCUCCGGCUUUUUAUUAAGUUUCAAGGUUAUUUUGAGUUGCUUUGGGGGCUCAGGCCCUUUCAGAGUUACGAUUGGCACCGCCACUCCUCCAGGUCUUAGAAGGUCUAACGGUGAAACAAGACCAACACCUGGAGCUUUGCCCAGGGGCUCUGGACCCUUGGAAACCGAGAGAGCACGGAGCAGCGCUCCUGCAGUGAGGGGCGUGGGCUCCGCGGGGCGGGGCGCGCCGGGGGCGGGGCCGAGAAGGCCGUGACUCCACCCCGGGUAAACUCUCCUCUCGGGUAAACAAGCGCCGGCGGCGCUUGGGGCUUCUUCUGCAAGUCCGGCGCCAAGUUACAUCACGGUUCCCGGGAGCUUCCCGCCCCAGCGGCCAGGUCCCCGAGGCCAUCGCUCGCCCGCCCGCCGCCUGUGUCCGAGGAGCAGAGGGCCGGCCAGGGCAGGAAGGCUUCCAAGUUUUCCCCGGAGGCCCCUGGGACUUCGUUGAAACCGGGUUCAGCUCGAGGAUAGGGGCACCGCCGUGGCCGCACAGGAACUGCACCUCAGUUUCCCCACCUGUGAAACCAGGAGGCUGCGUUAGUCUUGUGCCUCCCAGCUCGGGGAGGAGAGAUGCGCCCUGAGCCCAGGGCGAGGGGCCGCCCCCAGAUGGCUGUGACUCGGAGCCGGGCUUUCUACUUUAGCAGUGUAGUGGGUGGUCGCAAAGCUGAGUGUUUCAGAACUCAGACCCUCCCCUCCGACGGGCCUGGGUGAAAACUCAGGGGCGCAGAGCAAGGAUGACUUUGUAGGAUCCUAGCACCUUCCUCUCCCGACUUGCUGCGGGACACCGACCCUCUGGGUAAAAGAAGACCUGCGCAUUACUCUCACAGGGGGUUUGUAUCAGCGCUUUGGAAAAGGCAUUGGGUUGCAUAACGAAGACGAAGAUUGCCGCUCAAUAUCAACUGCUUGCACCUCGGAGCCUGAUCGAGCAACAGACUGCGUGCAGAGGCAGAGCUCCUGGGAGAGGCUCAGCGGAGUGUGGGCCGGAGCUGGAUAGGGAAGCAGCAGAAGGGAUGCUUGCCGGAUCUCCAGGAGCUGCCCAGUCCUGGCACUCCGCUAUUUGGCGAUUCUGCACCCGCGCUGUCCAAUAAGGUACCCAUGAGCCACGUGUGGCUGUUGAGUACUUGAAAUGUAGUGUGGGGACCCACUGGAACCCAGAGUUGGCAUGAAGAUUAUUUUAAGCUGAAGAUAUUUGAGAUUCAACAGAUGCAGCAAAAAGCCUUCUGGGAGCUUCCCUUAUCUGAGGAAAAGCAGCAACUUCUGGGAAAUGAGGCUACCAUAAAUCCCCUCUCCAGGGGAGUCUCAUGGCCUUGAAGAAGAUAAGAGACCAUUCAUACCAGUAUAGACAAAUAGUAUCACAAACUUUCUUAUUUUCUGUCGAUUCUCCUAAAAUCCCAUUUAUUAGUUCCUAAAGAAAUGUGUGUUGUUUUUUUUCUUCCAUAGAAGCCACUAUUCCCCCUCCCUUUUCCCUACUAGGUUAGGUUUAUAAACCUUUAACUUGAAUCAUUUAAUGAGCCAGGUACUUCCUUUGUUGGCUACCAUAUGCAUAGGAAAUACACUUUUUUUCUCCUGUUAAUCUGUCCUUUGUCAGUUUAAUUCUCUGGCCUCUGCAACUGAACCUAGGAGGGUAGAGGAAAAGAUUUUUCCUCCCGUGCAGUGGCUUCUUGGCAUUGAUAUAUGUGAGAAGUGUAAAAUACACACAGGAUUUCAAAGACUUAACUUGAACUUGUGAAC